UUGUCACGUCAUUACAAACAUUGUGCCGAAAAUAGUUACAAUAAUUCAGUGUAUCCAUUCCAACAACCGUUACCAAAUCAGUCUCAAAAGCCGUUACAAAAAGUUUUACAAAAGUCAAUCCAAAGGACAAGCACAACUAUACCAAAAACUAUUAUAAAAGCCGUUCCAAAUACAAAAAAUUAAUCCGUUACAAAAGUAGUUACAAAUUUAUUUUUUUAAUUUUGGCUAUAUUUGUAAAAGCCAUAAUUGACCAUUAUGGUCGUUAUAAAAGCCGUGAAAAUUUGUAACGGCUUUGGUACUAUCACAAAUAAUUUGUAAUGCUCAUUUGAGCUGCGAUAGGCUGAACCGUUACCAAAGCCGUUCCAAAUUAAAAAAAGUUGUUACAAAUUAAUAAAAAAAUUGUUCCAAAAUCUGUUUAAAUAAAAUGAUUUUUUGUAGUGUGUGUCCGACGCCUGUCGGGCACUGUACAAAAUAAAUAAUUCUUUCCGACCCGUCAGCCCCUCGCCUCCAUCCCUCCCCCUCUUCCAUUUUCUCCUCCGCAAUGGUGUCAUCGUCAACCACUGCCGGCCCCACUAUCUGAAAUCCGAGAAACCCUAACGCCACCCCCCCACCAUCCAUCCUGCACCUUUCUUUCAACCAGGAAAGCACAGCUUUGCUGUCGACACCACCGAUGGCUUCAUGAUAUUCAACACCGAUCCUUUUGUACAAACCAUUCACCAAGACUUUCUCCAAGAAUCACCAAGGUGGUGGCAUUGGUAUCGUGCUGAGGAUCUUCGGCACCAACAAAUUCGCCGUAGUGGGCAAAGGGGCCACUCCAAGACUCAGCCGCAACAAAAUCAUGAUCUGGGAUGAUUCUGUGGGACAGUUCACUGGAUAGCUCUUUUACCGUUCCGAGUGAAGAGCGUUCGCCUAAGGCAGGAACGCAUUGUUGCGGUUAUGAUGCAGAAGAUAUCUGUUCACGAUCUUAUGGACCUGCGUUUGCUGCAUCAGAUAGAAACGGAGCCCAAUCCGAAGGGGUUGUGCGAAAUUUCGCUGUCGGGGCGGAUGGUUCUGGUUUGCUUAGGACGGGAUAAGGGGGAAGUAAGGGUGUUGCAGGACGAGGUGAGUUGGAUUAGGGUGAUAAAGGCCAGCGACUUGGACGUUACGUGUGUUGCUUUGUCGAACAACGGGAGGCUGCUGGCAGCCGCGAGUACUAAGGGCACAUUGAAUAGGUUGUUCGACACAUUGUCCGGAAUGCUGCUUCAGGAGAUGAGAAGGGGUUCUGCAUUUGAAAGAACAGAGAUUCACAGCCUCUUUUUCUGCUUUGAUGCUGAGUGGCUGGCUGUUACAAGCAAUAAAGGAACCGUUGAUAUUCUCAGCUUAAAGGACGCAAAACGAAAUAAUAUGUCUCUUCCGAGUCUUUCCUACAACAAAGCUUUAAGCAAUGUACUGCUCUAGUAUGAAGUAGUUACAAGCAAUGCAGGUAUUCUGCGGAAGUAUUUCAUUCCCGAGUGGCCGACGGCUCGUUUCAUGUACCAAAAGAUAUACAACACAUCGUGACAUUUGGAUACCAAAACAACAUAGUUCUCAUUGUCGGCACGAAUGGAAGAUUCUACAGAUGCAAGUUUGAUCCAAUUGUAGGUGGGGAGAUGAAUGCCACAACUUCCUUCAGCCAGAACUCAUGAGUAUACUUUAGAUAGAUUUUGCAGGAAAUUCAUUGGAUUGUGAAUGUAUUAGUUUGGCAAAAAACUGCAAAUAGUUACAGAUACACACUCUGGAAGUAUAAAAUACAGUUCUUUGUUUUGUGUAUAUACGAGUUUUCAAUGCAAA
Sesamum indicum (sesame) is the source of this 1809-nucleotide RNA transcript. It is a transcript of the gene named autophagy-related protein 18a, with no coding region annotated. The record is from RefSeq and is a predicted model, not a curated record. NCBI's taxonomy places the organism in Eukaryota, Viridiplantae, Streptophyta, Magnoliopsida, Lamiales, Pedaliaceae.